This 943-nucleotide long non-coding RNA is filed under the name Oryzias sinensis (Chinese medaka). Its description in RNAcentral is "lncRNA (ENSOSIG00000016442.1)". The record is from RNAcentral. Lineage: Eukaryota; Metazoa; Chordata; Actinopteri; Beloniformes; Adrianichthyidae.
AAAAAAAGUGUGCAUCUCCUCAUGUCAGAUACUGGCUCAAUGACAGACUCAGCACAGAGCGGCUGUUUUCUUUGGAAAAAUCAAAUACAAUCCUCCAGUUACUUUAAGACAAGCCUCUAGUUCUCUAGUCAGCUCAUGUCUUCAGCAUCCCCAUUCAUGCACGGAAAGUCCUGCUCUCACAAAAAGAAAAAGCAGGAUUAUUUGUUCUAGCCUUUCAGAGCCCGUUCCUCCUGUAUCCCUGUGCUCCUCGUCUUUCUGUUCCUCUGCAAGGUCACCUGAAGGAGACCAGUGCUCCCUAAGGAUUUGGAGGAACAAUGCAAUAGUUUUUUGCUGCAUUUUAAGAGGACACACUUAGAGGCAUCUUUUUUUUUUUCAUUGCCGGGAUACAGUAUUCUUUUAAGCCAUUCUGUAUCUAAAACAACUAUCUCAGCCCAAACUCAUGUCAACUGGUUUCUGACCAUGAAAUUGCUAGAUAGAUCACAAACUAUAUCAUGAAUAUGUAAAAACUUUAAGGCAAGGCAAGGCAAGGCAAGUUUAUUUGUAUAGCACAAUUCGUACACAAAGUAAUUCAAGGUGCUUCACAAAACAGAAAAAUGCAUUAAAAUCACAAUACAUCAUAGAAAUAAUCAACGUAAAAUUUACUUUAAAAGAAAAGAAAAAAAUUGAAAAAUGAUUUAAAAAUAAAGGAAGGAAAGGAAAGAAAAGUGCACAUAGGACCUUUCAGUCAUAUACACGGCUAAACAGAAAUGUUUUAAGUCUAGAUUUGAACAUGAACACAGAAGAGGCCUGUCUUACGACUUCAGGGAGGCUGUUCCAGAUUUUAGCUGCAGAAUAUUGAAACGCUGAUUCCCCUUGUUUAGUUCUGACUCUGGGUAUCAACAGGAGGCCGGUCCCUGAGGUCCUUAGAGAACGAGAUGGUUCAUAUGGCACUAACAUGUCAGAG